This 525-nucleotide ribosomal RNA is filed under the name Papiliotrema laurentii. Its description in RNAcentral is "LSU rRNA". It matches the Rfam family "Eukaryotic large subunit ribosomal RNA", at positions 87 to 624 of the family's 3401-position model. Lineage: Eukaryota; Fungi; Basidiomycota; Tremellomycetes; Tremellales; Rhynchogastremaceae. The record is from RNAcentral.
CGGCGAGUGAACCGGGAAGAGCUCAAAUUUGAAAUCUGGCGUCCUCAGGGCGUCCGAGUUGUAAUCUAUAGAGGCGUUUUCCGUGCCGGACCGUGUCCAAGUUCCUUGGAACAGGAUAUCAAAGAGGGUGACAAUCCCGUACUUGACACGACGACCGGUGCUCUGUGAUACGUCUUCUACGAGUCGAGUUGUUUGGGAAUGCAGCUCAAAAUGGGUGGUGAGUUCCAUCUAAAGCUAAAUAUUGGCGAGAGACCGAUAGCGAACAAGUACCGUGAGGGAAAGAUGAAAAGCACUUUGGAAAGAGAGUUAAACAGUACGUGAAAUUGUUGAAAGGGAAACGAUUGAAGUCAGUCGUGACCGAGAGGCUCAGCCGGUUCUGCCGGUGUAUUCCCCUCGGUCGGGUCAACAUCAGUUUUGUCCGGUGGAUAAGGGCGGUAGGAAGGUGGCACCCUCGGGUGUGUUAUAGCCUGCCGUCGCAUACAUCGGGUGAGACUGAGGAACGCAGCUCGCCUUUAUGGCCGGGGU